AUAUAACCAGGUUACGAUCGCAAAAUGUAAUCAUUAACUUAUUUGCAAAUCAAAUGUACAUAUAUUAGUCAGGUUUUAAUAAACCAGAUAAAUUAUAGGCCUACCAACCACGUUGACUGACAUAUACAAAAAAUAAAUAAAUAAUUAAAAAUUGAACAGUUAAAGGAAGUCAAUAAAGAGUUUUGUUUCUCAGGUUCCACUGGCUGUCCUCAGGUUAUGGCUUGAGGUGAUAAAUUAUGCUGCAGUCAUCUCACAUUUGCGCAUUUCCCCAAGUAAAUAUGGGAGUUUCUCUAUGUCUGUUAUGUAUUCAAAUUCAGGGUGUAUUUUUAUUAUAUUGGGAAAAUGUUCAUUUCUCAGAGCCUGGUAUUUGGGGCAUGAGGUGAGGAAGUAUAGUUCUGACUCUACCGCUUGUCUGUUACACUGGGAGCAGAGUCUCUCCUCCUCUGGCAGCCAGCUCCGUCUAUGCCCUUCUCUAUAGCUACGCUGUGCUCACUGAGUCUGUAUUUAGUCAAGGCUUUUCUUAAUUUAUGAUUUUUUAAUGUGGUCCGAUAAUUUGCUAAUGUGAGGUCUCAUUUUAGGGUCAGAUAACAUUUUAAUUUACUCUGUUUUAGUUGUUUCCUUCCAAUAUGUGAUAUAGUUUCUUUUUGUUGGUUGAUAAUUUAGUUUGGGCUGAUUGGGUUGGUGAUGUGGUCUGGUCUGUGUCUGGGGCAUGUUAAGCUGUCUGGACCGAGCCUCAGGACCAGCUAGCUGAGGGGACUCUUUUCCUGCUUUAGCUCUUGGCAGGUUUGGACUGUGUGAUGGUGAUGAUGUGUGAUUAACACCAACAUUGUUAUGUUUCUUUUGUUGACAGUUUCAGCUAAGGGCAAAUACAAAGACAGGAGAGUUCAUUACUUACUCCACUGUGGCAUGGAUCCAAAAGCUUGGGCAAAAAGAUACAUGCACAGAAAGCCUGCACAAUGAUCUAUGAGUGGAACAAAGGAAUUUGCAAUCACUUCUGGUACUGCUGCAAGAUGGCUGAUGACUAUGACGCAUUUUUUGUAAGUAUUUUGUAACCGCUGUAAAUGUGUACUGUAAAUGUCAACAAUAAUAUUUACAGAUUUUAGUGCAUAUUGUAACUACUGUCCAAACUAUGUGCUGUAACCAACAUUGUUUUUAAGGUGCAUUGCCUGUACAGACAAAGCAGACACCAUAAGUUACUGUCAUUUUUAAAAAGUGACUGCUCAAUUACCAUUAUUUCCGUUAUAGUGAUGUAUGUGGCCGAUGAAGCUCAUUCACCAUUCAAAAAUGGUUCUCUGGAAAUGGGUAAUAUCCUUUAUUGUGCUUUUUGUGAUAUUGCCUGUGUUGUGUGUUAUCCUGAAUUUUGGUUACUGUUUAUCCUGCAGGAUAUUUGGACUGAAGUCUUGCACCAUGUGGUGGUAGAACACAGCCCCUUGACAGUCAACAGAGACAAGCCCUGGAUGCAGAAGUACUCCGUAGCUCAUCUGAAACUGGCAGAAGUUCUCCCGAAUGAACACUGGCUCAAGUCUGUCCACAUGUACUUGACCUUCAGAGUUACAGUUCAACUGCAGAGCAGGAGUCUAUUCACAAUUAUAUUCUGACGUAUGCUGGCAAGCACUUUGGAUUCUCCCCUUGUGUAUGGAGCUUGGGUCCUGCUGGCUGCCCUGGACUACAACCACCGUCUUGGCAGAUUACCCAAGUGAAUGGAUCAUUUGAGUGAGUCCAAGAUGAAGCCAUCUUGUGCUUUAGACAUGUAGUCAACAUUCAGGUACUGCAAGCUUUACAACAUGAAAUCAAGGAAGUGGACACUGCAGACAUUGAAGGCAGUGAAGAACUACAGCUACAUUCCAGCACUUCAAAGAGCUGUCCUGCAGAAAAGGCUGUCGUCCAGUGCAGGUAUGCCAUCAGUGAGGUAAAGGAGACCUGAUGAACCCAGACUUCAAGCAGUUCUGUGUGGUAUUCCAGCACUACCCACGGAAGAGUUGUUGCAGACAUAAGCCAUCAGAGAAAUAGGUUGAUCAAGAUGUUGUAAGGCUCCUUGGAGAAGAGAAACUCUCAAUUUAUAUUCCUUGACAUGGAGACUGCACCUUUGCCAAGAACUGGAGGGACUUAUCCUCAAAUGAAAUGGAGGAUACAGAGCAAAGAAAAAACAAGUUAAUAAAUCGCCUAAGACAGAAGAUGAAACUUCCAUUCACAGCCUCAGCCACAGCAACCAGCAACAGCCACUCUAAAAUUGAACUUGGCUGGAUGAACUACCAAGACUAUGUACAAACAAUAAGACGGCCUAUAGAAGGUGGAACAAAAGAGAUAAUUGUAAGGUAAAAUGACAUGGUAGCUUGAAAAAGGGAACAACUUUUUUCCCCCCACAGGAGAUCAAAGAAAGGCAAAUUAUAGGACUUUGAGUUCAUGCUUUGUGUUCUGGGUUCUGAGGAUCCCCUUGAGGCCAAUGUCACAAUUGGAACUUUGUACGCGCAAACUAAUCACAAGAUCAAGAGAUUGUAGUGAUUUUGAGCUUAAUGAUGCAACAGAUAAGCUCCUUUCACCUGACAUAUUCAACACACCUGAGUCAGCUACACAUGCAUCCUCAUCCUCAUCCAGCCUACAUUCACCCAGCUCAUCACUGGUCUCCUCCAGUCCUGUCAAAAGAUCUUAGUCCAGCACUAGGUCUUUCACUUGGAGCAGCCCCACGACUACCUCAACACUCCAAGCUAUUCUUGCUUCUCAAACAUCAAGACAGCCUCAGUCAAUAAAUCUGUCCUUUGAUGAUGAAGUUGUCAUAUUUGGAUAUGACAAACAUUCCUUUUUGAUGAUCUUGCUGACACACUGAUUUACUCAUCUCUACAAGUCAAUGCUGAUCCGCCAACAACGGUUGUGGUGACUACAGUGAAUCCAGAUUCACCCAAGCCAGUGACCGGUAACAGCCAACUGUCAGGCAGGGCAAACACAGAAUUUGAAAAUCAAACAGAGGCAGCAGUGGUAGCUGAGAUGGAAGAACAUCUUAUUCCCAUAAUGGAUUCUGACCAUAUUCCACCAGCACAAUGGCAAGUGAUUUCUUUGGAAAUCCAGAGAAUAUAGUUGAGAAGCAAAUCAUUGUGAUCCACCAAGUACACUGUGUUAAUGACAUGCUUGAAGCAUUUACAGACAAGAACAUACUGGAUGCUAAUAUUUCAUUCAAAUUUCUGGAAUAUGUUUUAUGCAACGAAGACCUGUGGAACAACCUACAAGAUCCCCAGUUUGCACCACACAUUCCAAGAGAGAAAGUGGCUCAUAUCUUGGCCUUUGGAUGGCAGCAAUUUCAGUACUUCCCAGUCCAGCUUGCCCCUCCAUUCCUCACAGAGGCUCUAUCACUCUGCUGUUCAGACAGCAGUCUAAUGGAGGCUUUCUUCAACUACAUCAGCGCAACUGAGAAGGAUGUGCUUACCGAGGCAGUUAACAACUUCAAAGGGGCUGAUAUAGAAGAACUCGUCAGCAUACUCAGCAGUCACAACUGCACUGUGCUCCCAACUGAAGAAAAUCUGUCAAAACUGGUGGAGGAAAUAGCCCACAAAGAGAUGGUGCAAGAACCAGCAUUUAUUUAUUUAUUUUAAGUGUUGGAAGCCAAUUCUUAGGUCUAUUGGGGAAUCCAUGAGUGGCAACGGACUGAACGAGAUUCUGGAUGAUCUGAAACCCAAGGCAAGAAACAUUACCAAAAUGCAUUCACUUCCCAGGAUCUAUGUCAAAUGUCAGACAAUUACCUCCAAUCAACUCUUGAGAUUUGUAAGAGAAAGAGAUGAGAAGGAGCUUGGCCUGCUCCUCAGGUACUGUACAGGGUCUAACUUGUUCUUAUCUAACACCAUUAAAAUCACAUUCACAGACCUCUCUGAGUUCACAAGACAGCCUUUGGCUCACACCUCUACUUAUUCUUUGGAACUGGCGUGUAACUAAAACAGCUAUGUAGAAUUUAGAUCAGAAUUUGAGGAGUGGAGUGUGGGUGAUGGAUAUGUCCUAAAAUGGAUUUGUUUGCUUGAACAGCAAAUGAAAAAUCAUCUUAUUUUAUUCUGUUAUCCAGUUUGUGUAAUCCAGUGGAUGAUGUUAAAUAUUUGAGGACACAUGCACCAUAGUGGGAGAUGAUCUUUUGUCAAUGUUUUGAAAUUCAAAUUAACAACUUAAGGUACUGUGUAAAAAAGUCACACACAAAAAGUCGCAUUUUGUUCUUACAAGAGAUAGAAGUGAAACACUCUGUAUUCUUGGCAAACUUGUGCGUAAAAACUGGCUAACUAUUUGUGUGUGGUUGCUGUUUUCAUUGUUUAAAUUCUAGUAUUAGGAAUUUCUAAUCUUCAAGAUCUUCAAGUUAAGGCUGAUUUAAGGUAGGUCACUACACUUGAUAAGUGUCACUUGACACUUUGCUUUCAUGUCGCACACCUGGAGAAUCUUGUUAUGUUGCAGACAGUCAUAUUUUGUUGCGCAAUGUGAUUGGGUAGCGUUACUAACAUCGCCAUGGGGAUUGUAGUUAUCAGUGAACUUCCUUAUUGAUAUUUUGGUCUAUAACUUUAGAUAACUUGUAACAUCCUUUUUUAAUUAUUUUAAUUAGUUUAGCUAGCUUGCCGAAGCAUAUAUUGAAAAUGUUGUGCGACUCUGUAUGUUCUGUCGAAACAUGCAACUUAUAAAGUUGAGCAACCUUCGAUAAAUCAGCCUUUAACAUUGCCUGGAGUUCAAAGAGCUCUAGAUAACAUUUUUUCUUACCACACUUGAAAUAUAUGUAUAUAUACAUUUAAAUUUUUAUGCCAAUUUUGAAAAAAAUGUAUUUGUUUUGCUUAAUUUGAUUUAGAUCACUGAAUGAUUUCUUUGGCUUUUGAGUUUGUAAUGUUUGAAACAGAAAACAAAUGAGUUUCAACAAUUAAAGGAUUUAAUUGCAACAAUUAAAGGAUUUAAGUGCAACAAUUAAAGAAUUUAAGUGCACAUUACACUGAAAUCAUAUAUUAUCUAAAUAAACACUAUUUCAACACAGCUUCAACUGAUGUAAAGGCCUAGGAUAUUUGACAUGGACAUUGCGGUUCUGUUUAUGAAUCUAUAUGCUACAUAGGACAUACCUGAUCA
Long non-coding RNA from Thunnus maccoyii (southern bluefin tuna), 5073 nucleotides. RefSeq lists it as uncharacterized. Lineage: Eukaryota; Metazoa; Chordata; Actinopteri; Scombriformes; Scombridae. The transcript has 5 exons. The record is from RefSeq and is a predicted model, not a curated record.